RNAcentral lists this transfer RNA (76 nucleotides) under Chloroflexota bacterium. RNAcentral's name for it is "Chloroflexi bacterium (hot springs metagenome) tRNA-Ala". It matches the Rfam family "tRNA". Rfam says of the family: Transfer RNA (tRNA) molecules are approximately 80 nucleotides in length. Their secondary structure includes four short double-helical elements and three loops (D, anti-codon, and T loops). Further hydrogen bonds mediate the characteristic L-shaped molecular structure. tRNAs have two regions of fundamental functional importance: the anti-codon, which is responsible for specific mRNA codon recognition, and the 3' end, to which the tRNAs corresponding amino acid is attached (by aminoacyl-tRNA synthetases). tRNAs cope with the degeneracy of the genetic code in two manners: having more than one tRNA (with a specific anti-codon) for a particular amino acid; and 'wobble' base-pairing, i.e. permitting non-standard base-pairing at the 3rd anti-codon position. RNAcentral also lists the same sequence under 3 other names. Lineage: Bacteria; Bacillati; Chloroflexota. The record is from RNAcentral.
GGGGCCAUAGCUCAGCUGGGAGAGCGCAACACUGGCAGUGUUGAGGUCAGCGGUUCGAGCCCGCUUGGCUCCACCA